Oryzias latipes (Japanese medaka) is the source of this 4168-nucleotide non-coding RNA. The record is from RefSeq and is a predicted model, not a curated record. NCBI's taxonomy places the organism in Eukaryota, Metazoa, Chordata, Actinopteri, Beloniformes, Adrianichthyidae.
GCCAGAAUCUAAAGAAACAUUCAGAAAUCGCAUACGAUUUUUGUAAACAAUUUAUUUGUAUAUUACUGUUACAAAUAAGUAUUUGAGCACUUAAUUAUCAGAGAUUUCUGACCAGCAAAGACUUGCAGUUCUGCUUUUAAAUAGGGCAAUUGCCAAGCAGCUUGGUGAGAAAAGGACAACUGUUGGAGCAAUUGUCAGAAAAUAGAAGAGGCUAAUGAUGACUGUCAAUGUCCCUCGGACUGGGGCCCCUCGCAAGAUCUCAUCUCGUGGGGUAUGGAUGAUGCGAAGGAAGGUGAAGAAUCAGCCCAGGAUUACACGGGAGGAGCUGGUCAAUGACCUGAAGAGAGCUGGGACCACUGUUUCCAAGGCUAUAAGUAAUACAUUGAAACGUCAUGGUUUAAAAUCAUGUAUCGCACGGAAGGUUCCCCUGCUGAAGGCAGCCCAUGUCAACGCCCGUCUGAGGUCUGGCAAUGACCAUCUUGAUGAUCCAGACGAGUCAUUGGAGAAAGUCUUGUGGUCUGAGACCAAUAUAGCACUUUUUGGUCUCAAAUAUAUUCAGUGUGUUUGGAGGAGAAAGAAGAAGCAUCAUCCCAAGAACACCAUACCUACAGUGAAGCACGGAGGUGGAAGCAUCAUGCUCUGAGGGUGUUUUUCUGCAUAAGGGACAGGACGACUGCACUGUAUUAAGGAGAGGAUGAACAGGGCUCUGUGUUGUGAGAUAUUGGGCAAAAACCUCCUAACCUCUGUCAGAGCGUUGUAGAUGGGUCGUGGCUGGGUCUUUCAUCAUGACAAUGACCCGAAGCAAACAGCCAAGAAAACCAAGGAGUGGCUCCGUAAGAAGCAUAUCAAGGUAAUGAAGUGGCCUAGCCAGUCUCCAGACCUAAAUCCAAUAGAGAAUCUUUGGAGGGAGCUGAAACUCCGUGUUGCUCAGCGACAGCCCCGAACCCCGACAGAUCUAAAGAAGAUCUGUAGAGGAGUGGGCCAAAAUCCCUAAUGCAGUGUGUAUUAACCUAGUGAAGAAAUAUAUGAACCGUUUGACCUCUGUAAUUGAUUAACAACGGCUUCUGUACCAAAUAUCAAAGUUGUUUAACUCAAGUGAUCAAAAACGUAUUUGUCACAGACUUUUACAAAGAAAUUGUACAACGUGAUUUCUGAAUGUUUCUUCAGAUUCUGUCUCUCACUGUGGAAAUGCACAUAUGAUGAAAAAUUUAGACACCUCCAUGUUUUAAAAUUGUGAGAACUUGCUGAAUCACAGGGUGAUCAAAUACUUAUUGACCUCACUGUAUAUAAGUAUCAAUGUUACUGUUUUUCUUGGAAAACAAUGGAUCACACAUAGGAUGUAUGAUCCAUCCCCUUGGGUCCAACCUGAAGCUAAGUAUCAGGAGCUGAACAUACGUACAUUAUUUUUUGGGAGUAAAUGGCAAUAUGCAAUUUGAAUUGAUCUCAAGACCUCAUCUCUCACAUCCACAUAAAAUUUUGAUCAUACCGAAAACGUUUAACCCCUUAAUAUCCAUUGAUGCACAUAUGCAUAUCCAUUCCAAUAUAUUUAAAUUUUUUCCGCAGGUGUAAAUUAAUGUAGAUGUUAAUAGGUAAACAAUGUAUGAAAUUCAUAAAUUAUAUAUUUUAAUGUGACAGGCUCUGAAAGUUUUCAAAGCUAAAGUUUAAUUCUAUAUCAAAUGAAAGUAUAAAAAGGGGCCUAUGCUUUGUUCUUGUGCGCUUGCUUUGAAGAGGGGGAGGGGCGGCAAUGACUGCGCGUGAGUAGUUAAAGGACUGGCUUGCCAAGAAGCUGAUGCAAGACUACAAACGGUAAGAAAUGAACAUACAUCGGGAAAUCUAAACUAUUUGAACUUUAAAAUAAAUACCAAUAAUCUAUAAUUUUUUCUGGUCAUGCAAGCUUUACCUCUUAGCUAAUAUUUCAGCUAACCCACGCAUGACACAAGUCAAGCAGAACUAACCCCCCCCCACGAACAAUAUUUUCAGUGACAGUUAACUUUAAUGACGGUGUAUUACUUUUGUAAUUUAGAAUUUUAGUUUAUAAAAUUAAUACAUCUCUAGACGGAGUCAUACUGUUGAAUGACAUUAGCUAAUCUGGCCCGGGUUCUGGCAGCACGCGGGUCGGUCGGUGCCAGCUAAUGAAACUACCUCAUAUAUCGAUCGCAAGGGUGCUUCUUUGUUGGUCAGAACCUAAACAAAGACGUAGGCAGCAGGGUAAGACACGACAACUAGUUCUAACAUAAAGAGAAGAAUGUAAUGAGAAAUUGUUUUUCCGGUUUCGGAGUAGUAAUGUUUUUGAAGUGCUGGUGGAACGGUUUGGCACCAUUUUGGUAAUAUGUCAUAACUGAUAAUUACUACAAACAAAGUAACUGCCCAUUGAUUGCUGAUUGACAGUACUGCCACAACACAAUAUCUGGUUUCUGCUAUAUGUAAAUGCUAUGUACUUUUGGGAUCUUUGUAGUACGUAGUUGUGAAAAAUAUAAUUGUCAAUAACCAAUAACAACCUACCACAAACAUGUGCUUGGUUGUUUAAAUUUACAGCUAGUUGUGAAUUUCAAUGUGAACACUACAAUUUAUCUAAACACCUUCUCUUAAGUUUUACAUUUUAAGUAAAUCAUUAUAUAGAACAUCUUUCAUUUUGACUAAUUGUGGAACAUACAAAAUAAAGUCAAUGUAUAUCUGAAGAUAAUUUCUAUUUCUGUUUAUUAUUUACAUAUAGUAAAAGAGUGAAGCAAUUGCAGUUUAUUUUGACUUAAAAGACUUCAUGUUAAUUUUCCAUUUAACAGGGGUACUAAAUAAAGUUAAACUUGACCACAUUUAACAAUGACUUUAUUUUUUCUAUUGUCAUAUCAAAUUUGAUAUGAAGAAGUGUAUUCUACAAUUCAUGAAUGAAUAUUUUGAAUAAAAUAUGAAGUACUAAAGUUAAGACUAGGUCCUCUGUAGGUUUAUGUUAUUGAAAGCAAACACCCACGAAAUUAAUAGGUUACAAACAAACAAUUAAAUGGAAUUUCUGCUGUGCCCCAAUUUCAACACCUUAGAUAGAAACAGCAUGUCAUUAAGUUUAUUUGUUUAUAUGUUUUUUAUGCUGGAAAAUAAUGCAAAUCCAGUGGUUCGACUCCAGAACACAAAUGUCAAGAUGCCACGAGGAUCUACAACAAAACUUUGUGUCAGCUGCAAAGCUGUGAUUGGUGUGGCAACUAAGACAUGUAAAGUAUGCCAAACAAUCCAGCCAAUGAGGCAAAGGCUUGCCAAAAAACUGGAGAAGUUUCAAUCCAAAAAGGAGACUUGGUUGCAAAAACACAAGAAAAACAAAACCACCACACAUGUUUUGGAUGAGGCAUCGGUUUUGGUGGAAAAGUUGAAUACUUUGGGACAAAAAGCCGUUGUGUUUAUUGCCAGACCUGGAAAGAAAACAUCUACGUGGCAUACACAUGUCAUUCACCCUAGGUGGCAAUUAACCGAUCAAGCUGGACAGUGUCUGGACCGCAUGAAAGACCUAUAUGAGCUAAUGAUCAAUGCAGGUGUUCCAGCAAAGAAAAAGAAAAAAAGAGAUAACAAGAAAGAUUCACCUGGAGAGUGCAGCCAUGGGGGAGAAGAUCAGUUUUACCCAGUGAAGCAGGUCUUGAAGACAAAAAAGCAGAAGGGGAAAUUAAUGGAGUUUGUUGAAUGGGAGCCAUGUUCCAUGUGUGGGAAAACAUGGUCUCCACAGUGGGUGGAAAAAAGGAACACCAAAAAAUAAACCCCAAAGGCACCUCUGUUGAUCAGAUUGACCUUUUAAAUUAUUAUUGUUGUUUGUGUUACUGCUUUCUAAUUGUUGUUAAUAAAAAUGUUCAAAUGAAAGGGUUUGAUCUACAUUUUUUAUUGCUCAACAUGCUCACAUGUAUGAUAUACCAUAGAGGUAGGACACAUUUGUUGUGAAAUUCUAAACAAAAGUUUACAAUAAAAAACAUACAAAAAAUUUGUCAUAUAACCAGAUAUCAGGUUUUUGUGUUGGAUUGUCACAGCUAUGGCAAUUGCAAAUGAUCAUACCUCAAGUUAUAAUGAUACAUACUUAAUAGUAAAUCAUUUUUGGUAUUUAGUAUAAUGAAAUAAGAGCAAAGAUGUAAUGCAUGGAGCUGUAUUGUGCAACCUAAAUAGAUGAAUGUAUAUUUGAGGUAAAAAAAAAAAAAAAAAA